This is a microRNA precursor of Bison bison bison, 81 nucleotides long. The record is from Ensembl. NCBI's taxonomy places the organism in Eukaryota, Metazoa, Chordata, Mammalia, Artiodactyla, Bovidae.
UUGGAUUUGGCCCAAAAAGUUCAUUUGAGUUUUUCCUAAGAGCAUAUGGAAAAACCCGAAUGAACUUUUGGGCCAAUCCAG